Bactrocera oleae (olive fruit fly) is the source of this 7296-nucleotide non-coding RNA. The record is from RefSeq and is a predicted model, not a curated record. Lineage: Eukaryota; Metazoa; Arthropoda; Insecta; Diptera; Tephritidae.
GCUUUUGACGUCAGAUGCCGCCUUGUAUAAUUAAUUUACUUUUAUAGUAAUUAUGUAUAUUUUUACAACAACGCAUCUGAUGGUAUUGUUUUGUGUUGUGAAUUAAUUGCUUAAAAUAAACGCGUUAAGUUUUACAAGUUUCCUAAAGAUUAAUGCUACAUUUCAGGUAAAUGACGUUUUAAUAAGAAAGUAUAACAAAAAAACUGAAGAAAUCGAUACGUUGAGGUAUGAAAUUAUCCUGAAGUUUGCAACAUUUCUUAUAUUAGUGUAGAGGGUGUCUGUGCAGUGAGUUUGGUGCAUUUUUGGUUCGUUUUAGAAAUGCUUAAAAAUUGUUCGCAAAAGUGGCGUUUGUAAGCGAUAACUUAAGUUUUGAGCGUUAUUUUCUUCAGAAAAUGCAACAAGUGGACACAGAUCCACCAUCCCUACCGGUUGGUACGGAGGUAAGUGCCAAAUACAAAGGAGCCUUUUGUGAAGCUAAGGUUAGCAAAGUGGUGCGUAAUAUAAAAGUAAAAGUGGCUUAUAAGCAAGGACUAGGAUCGGGAAUUGUGUCAGACGACUUAAUAAAAGUUGCACCUGGGCAACUGCGCGUUGGUGCUACUGUUGAAGUUCGUCAUCCCGAUCGUAAAGAUUUGGUAGAGUGCACAGUUACUAAAAUUCAAGAUUGCUCGCAAUAUACCGUGGUUUUUGAUGAUGGCGAUAUAACGACUUUACGUCGCACAGCUUUAUGUCUGAAAAGUGGCCGUCAUUUCAAUGAGAGUGAAACUUUGGACCAGCUACCACUAACACACCCAGAGCACUUCGGAAAUCCUGUUGUAGGAGGACGUCGGGGACGCAGACGUGGCCAGUUGAACGAUGAUAGUUCCGAUGAAGAAGAUGAAAGUGAUGCGAAAGAAGUUGUCAACGAAAAAGAAGAACACAUAGGAAAUGUUGUGUGCGUGGAAAUGGAAACAAAGAAGAAGGAUAAAGAGAAGUGGUUCCCAGGGCUUAUAUUAGCUCCUACAGCUCAAGCAAAUGUGCGGAUCAGAGUGAAAGAUGAAUAUUUGGUAAGAUCAUUUAAAGAUGGUCGAUAUUAUACGGUUCCGAAGAAAGAGACAACCGAAUUUACUCGUGAAGCGGCAGCUAAACAAGAUGGUCAAGCAGUACAAGCUGCACUUCAAUAUUUAGAUAGUGGAGCACUACCCCCCCAUUGGGAUCGUGAGUCUUUAUUUGGACUAAAUAAUUCAUCAAGUGAAGGUGAUGGUGAAUUGGAAUCCGAUUCGUCAGACGAUGAACCACGGGAAGAAAAAGAUCGUUUUGUGGCUCAAUUGUAUAAAUAUAUGGAUGAUCGUGGAACACCAUUAAAUAAAGUACCAUCAAUUCAAAAUCGGGACGUUGAUUUGUACCGUCUAUUUCGAGCAGUACAGAAAUGUGGUGGUUACAACCGUGUUACCGCUAAAAAUCAAUGGAAAUCCAUAGCGGUACGCUUGGGCUUUACAUCAGUAACAGUUAGUGUAACAAAUCUUGUUAAGCAAGCGUAUAAAAAAUUUCUUCAACCGUAUGGUGAAUUUCAUCGUAAACUGGGAUGCUCAAUGCUAAUGACACCUCGCAAUUCUAAUCGGAGUAAGGGCCGUAGUUUAGUUCGAGCAAACUCUGUUGCUUCUCCAAAGCCAAUUGACAACACAAAAGAUUCCUUGAACAAACCUGCAAAUAAUAAUAUAACUGCGUCAUCGUCUUCAUCAUCGUCUUCUGCCUCUAGUAGCCAAAAUAUUGCAGCAUCGUCAGUUGUUGCAACAACAACUGCCAAUAUAAUCACGGUUGUCACACCUUCUGUAACGGAAGAGUCGGAAAAUACAAGCGAAUCCAGUCUAGACAAUGCCAAGAAUAAGAGAAAAGCUGUAGUGGGAAAAGUUAAAGGUCUUGUUGAAAAAUAUGAAGAAAAAUCGAGAGAUGAUUGCGAUGUGCCGCUUUCAAAAAUGAAGAUGUCGGCAGAGACUCCACGAUGUGAGGACAAGGAUAAGGCACCAUCUCUAAAGGAUGUUUCUGCCGGCCCAACGUUACAUAUUAGGGAUUCUUCACCCCCAGGUACAAGUGCUGGAAGUAAAAAAGAUAAGAGUCAAAAAAAGCAAACCCCUCAAAGUGACGAUAAGCGAAACAAACGAAAAAAAGAUGAUACAAUUGAAAAGGUAGAUACCGGCGAUUUUAUUGUUGAGGUAGGAGACAAACUUAAAGUAUAUUACCAUGAGAAAAAGGUGACUUAUGAAGCAAAAGUUAUUGAAAUAUCUGUACAACGGGGUUCACCGAUGUACCUGGUUCAUUAUACCGGUUGGAACAAUCGUUAUGAUGAGUGGGUACCAAGAGAACGCAUUGCUGAGAACAUAACUAAAGGGUCAAAACAGAAAGGACGUAUGGCAAAUGCAAAUUCGAUGGAGAAACAAAAGGAUAAUCCUUCAAAACCACCUUCAGUUUCCUCAUUGAAUCCGACAGGUCCUCCAAAUUCGAUGGCAAAUAUAUUAGGCAACAUACCAAUAUCAACAAAGUUGUCAGUAUCAUCAAAACGUGGUCGUGGUCGAAGUGACUCGCUCCCGCCUCGUUCCACUACACCCUCUUCAGUAGCAUCUAACUCCAGCCGAACAAAAUCACCUGCCACAUCUGGCCUAAAAAGAAGACCGAUUCGUUCAAUGGUUAAUACUACGCGACGUACAUCUGCAAACGUUUCUGAUGUUUCUUUACAAAGUGAAUCUGAUACGGACUCCGAUGAACCAGUCAGACGACCAACUCGUGGUAGUAAAGAAAUUGAGUACAAGUCAGGAUCUUUAAGUGGUAAAUUAGCAAACAAGAGUAUCAACUCGGAUACAGAUGUUGACGAUGAGGAGGAUGAUACUACGCUUAUUAUUGGAACAAAUAUUAACUCCACUAAGGGUCGUAAUUAUGACCUUAAUCAAAUUCGAUCUGAACUAAGGGAAUUGAAAUCACCUUCGCCACCAUAUUUGGGAAACGACGAAUUGGUGUCAAAAGUGACACAGCCGAUUAAAGUGGAGAGCGUAAUAGAUGUUAAAGAUAUUUGUUCUUCUAAAAGCAAAGCAAUAGUCGAAUCAAAUACUGAAGUGAUCACCAUUAAACAAGAAGUGAAACAAGAUCAAAAAGAUGACACUGUGAAAUCGUCUACGGAUAUGUCUUCAGAGACGGAAUCAUUUUGUGAUGAUGACUCGCAAUCAUCAGGCAAAACGACAACUCUUGAAAACAUGACAAAAAGAUUUCAGCAAAAAAUAAAAGCCGGUAAACAACAAGCUUUAGAAAAACUUUCUUGUGGAAACCCUACAGUGGAACGGGUACCAAAAGUUGUAGAAAAAAUAAUACAGGAUUCACUCGCAGAAAAGCUUCAAGAGAGUCUUAAAACCAAACCGGAUGUAAAAAAAGAGGAAGGAUUAGAGGCAAAUAUUAGCGACGCUGCCUUAUGUAAAUCGGAUAUUGAUAAGAAAGAAGAUAGUAAACCAAAAAUCUUACAAAAUGAAUUACAUCAAAGGAGUACUUCAAAUAUCCAGCCCAGAUUUGAAAGCACCAUUAAUAGUAGCAAGUAUUCCUCCCUUAUUAUAGAAAAGCCGGUAUGCUUUAAUAAGAAGAUAGAAUCUGGUUGUAGUAAAAAGACAGACAUUAGCAGAAAAUUUGUCACAGAUAGUAUAGAAAGCCAAUCAAAAAAAAGUAUAGAACCUGUGGGGAAAGAGAUAAAUAAAAGUGAACCGUCAGCAGCUUGCUCUCCAUCCUCAUCAUCUUCAUCGUCAUCCGCAUCAGCAUCUUCAUCUUCUCACUCAUUACCAGACAUGAGCAAGCUGGAUAUCAGUGGCGGAUCUUCGACUUCUUCAAUACAUCUGAUUCCUAAUAAAGACGUAAAGUUAGCAUCUGUUGCUCCGAAAGCGACCUCACCUGAUAUUUAUGAGUUCAAAGAUCCAGAACCCUUUGAAUUCGAAUUACGAAAGCUACAAACCACCAGCACAAAUAUUUCCUCAUUUACCACGGGUGUAACAAGUGCAUGUAAUGUAUCUGGAAUUACUCGAAAAUCAACUCAAAAAAAUAUAACUUCACAAAUUUCGGUUAACGAAAAGCAACAACCACCUCCAAACCCAAUGACCGUUUUAGUAAAUCGCAAAAAAAAAGGCUCGCCAAUGAAGGAAGCUGUAAUAGAUAAAUCUAAGUUACCUAAAACUGAUGGAAAAUUAAAUAUUAUUUCGGAGGGAAAAAUCAAUAAAAUUGCUUCCAUUAUUCCAGUCGUAACAAAAGGUACAUUAGAUUGUCAAACGAACUUGUUAACACUAAAUCCAUUAUCAUCAAAUCCGAGUCUUUGUAGUAACUCAACUACACAGAAAACAGAAGUGCUGAAUAAUACAUCAUUCGAUACAUUGAGAACAUCACCAAAUUUUAAUGUAAACAUAAACGCCUUAAAUGAGGAGUUAGCGCAAACAGUACAGGAAACAACCAGAGCACUUACUGAUGCUUUUCAAAAACCAAAGCUGUCGUCUUUACAGGAAGUUGCUGGUACCCCUCCAAAAUUAGCGUCGCCGAAGCAAAAUGAUACUGAAAAUUUGAUGACAUCUUCUAAAAACCAAGAAGAAAACGUUUCAAAAUUAAUUAGUCCAUUACCGACUACACCCAUUAAGACAGUUAUUGGCAGUCCAUUUAUAGAGACUCGAAAAGAUCUGAGCAAUGUUUUUGAAUUGAGUACGAGUGAAGGAUUUACAUCAUUAAGCGAAUCGAAGGAUAAUAAGUUUGAAUUUGAAAAUGCUAAGAAAAUGCUUUCUGCAACAUCAGACGCAUUUGAUUUAGAGCCUGCUAAAUAUGAGAAUAGACCGACAUCAAUCGCAGACAAACUUUUAAAAGCUAUAAAUCAAAAAAAAGAGGAAGAUAAAUAUAGAAUUGAUCCUAAAACUGAGAAAGGAGAAGAUGGUGGAUCUUCGAAGGAUGAUGUUGCGAUUGUAAAAAAUACAGCAGAGUUGAUACUUGGAAGUGAUUGUGCUUCAAAUGAACCAUUAAAUAUUAACAUAGAUUUAGCCGGCUCUCCAAUGAGCUUCGGCAGUAAUUUGAGUUUAGAAAAAUUACCCAUCAUAACUGGCUCAAUAAAUAAACCCAUCCCUCUUACAAGCCCUGAACCGAAGUUGGGAAUACUAGAGUCUAUUACAGUAAAAAAUAAUGACUUAACGGAGACGAUACAGAAACUUGAAUGUGCCAUUCAACGGAAAACUCCAGUCAGUGGCCUUUCAGUUACAACUACACCAAACACAUUUUCAGAGGAUUCGAUGGAUAGUACUGAUUCGGAACGUCGCCUUGUUAUAGAAGACGUGGCUGAAGACGCGUGUGAUAUUCUUAAAAGUCCCAACGAUUCACAGCCCAUUGGUGAGACAAAAAUAAGUAUAUUGCCACAUAAAACAGAUGUUGCUGUCAGUAAAAUAGUACCAGAUAACAUUUUGGCACAUAUUAGAGCCGAUCCUCAAAUUCAACAAACUACACAUGCAAGUCGACCACAGUGUCUUAGUGCAUCAGUAUCGUUUCCAACCAUAUCAGCGCCUAUAAUUGUGACUUCAGCAAACAGAAUAUCAACCGUCUUACAUGUUGUGGCUGAUAUGACAAUGGAACAGAAAGGACCACAAUUUGGAAAUCCGGAAGUACAAAAGAAAGACAAGCGAAAGCAAGAAGACAGCCUAUCUUUGGGCAUUGAAAAUAGUGCCGAUAUUGAAACAAGGUCUAAUGAAAACUUCAGUUCAAGAGAUACCUUUAGUGUUAAGUCUUUUGAAACUGCUGCCCCGUUAAGAUCUGCAUCACCUCUUAUUGAUAGUUCAAAGCAACAUACUCAAAGAUCAACAGAUGUUGUACCGAUUUUGGUUCCAGAUAUUCCAGUUUCGGUUGUUGUAGCUUCUGGAGCGGUGCCCUCAGUAAAAGCAGCAGCACAGGCAGCAGCUGAAGCUGCAGCUCAAAGUCCUACUUCAAAAAUCCAACCGAUCACACAUUUGGAUCAUAAAACCAUUGUAUCUAAAACACUCUUACCUUCAAAUUUAAUCGUGUCUUCCGAAGAAGCUUUGACUAUCGAUAAAAAUUCUGAGAGUAAGAUUACGUUUAUUCAAGAUACGGGUGUAUAUAUUGAUGCAUCAAAUGAUUUGAAAAUUACUCCGCCAUCAACAGUAACCUGCCCAUCGAUAACAGGUAUAUCAGCUAAUUCGGGAUUUUAUUUAGAUGUGCGUACAGAGCUCCGACCUGAGGACGGUGUAAAACCUAUUCACGACAUUCAGCACACAAAUACUGAGAUUGAACGUUUUAACAGCAAAAAAGUUGAAGGUACUUUAUGCGCUGAUGAAUUAGCUUCUAAUUUUGGUGUUGAUACCAAUAAUGAGUCUAUAAACCUUCUUUGCGAGGAAACCAUUCCUGGCAGUCCAACACCUGCUUUUGGAGGAAAAGAGGAGCCUUCGGGAACGCAAUUAGCUACAGAAAGUACUUUAUUGUUGGAUAGCAACAUUAAGGUUUUAGGUGUCACGGAGCCAGGUGCUUUGCUUGCUAAUAUGAAUAAUUCCCCAAAUGAUUCAGCAAGCCAUGAUGACAGCAGUGAGGAUGUAAAAAAACAAGUUGAUAUAGAAAACGAAAUAUCCCCUCGAAAACGUCGGCGCCCCAGAAAGCAAUCAGAAAUGAUUAUCACAUCAGACCACCAUACCAAACGGCGGAAACAAAUGACAUAUAUGAAAAAGAUUCCAGUGUAUACAUACAUCUAUAUGUGAGACUAUAUGUAUUAUAGCGGAUAAUUGAAUAUAACGCCAUAAACAAAAAACGUUCAUAUUUAUAGCAGGUUCCGAUAGCGACGAAAACUCUGAUGGUACAUCGCAACGCAUUCUUGAAUCUCGACAUAAUUUCCAACAACAAUUUCAACUACAACAGCCACAGACAUCAGUUGGAAUUCGGUCUUGUCCCUAUAACUUCUUGGUGCAAUUAGAUCCGAGUCUGGGCUCUGACCAAUGCAUAGCAAUUUUAUUAAAACAAAUUCAAGAAUUGCGAAAAACCUAUAAUGCAAUCAAAAUCGACCUUGCGAGUAUUGAUCGAAGACGUAAAAAAUUACGACGACGAGAAAGGGAAAAGAAGCAACAAGUGCAAAAUCAACAAGUUAAAAUUUCUUAAUUAUGCUUUACAUUAAUAAUAAUAAUACAGAAUAUGAAGAGUUCUACAAUUAAAUUUGAAUAUACAUAUGUACUUAUGUAAAUGUAUAUGUAAUGUUUAGUUUUAAAAAUCUAAAUUCUUCAAUUCUAUUAUGCGAAAAAUAAAACAAUGUUUUUCUUUAAAUAUAAA